Molecule: ribosomal RNA, 190 nt
Filed under: Trifolium pratense (red clover)
Lineage: Eukaryota; Viridiplantae; Streptophyta; Magnoliopsida; Fabales; Fabaceae
Description: rRNA SSU_rRNA_eukarya
Rfam family: Eukaryotic small subunit ribosomal RNA
Source: RNAcentral
UGUAGUAGAUUGACAUACUGAGAGCUCUUUCUUGAUUCUAUGGGUGGUGGUGCAUGGUUGUUCUUAGUUGGUGGAGCGAUUAGUCUAGUUAAUUCUGUUAACGAACGAGAACUCAGCCUGCUAAAUAGCUACGUGGAGGUAACCCUCCACGGAAGUUUGAGGCAAUAACAAGUUUGUGAUGUCCUUAGAU